UCCGAAUUGGUGUAGUGGCUAACAUUUGACGCUCUCAUUGCGAAGUACCGUCAAGCCCGGGGUUCGAUUCCCCGAUUCGGAG
RNAcentral lists this transfer RNA (82 nucleotides) under Xylariaceae sp. FL0594. RNAcentral describes it as "tRNA-Glu". It matches the Rfam family "tRNA". Rfam says of the family: Transfer RNA (tRNA) molecules are approximately 80 nucleotides in length. Their secondary structure includes four short double-helical elements and three loops (D, anti-codon, and T loops). The record is from RNAcentral. Lineage: Eukaryota; Fungi; Ascomycota; Sordariomycetes; Xylariales; Xylariaceae.